Molecule: long non-coding RNA, 341 nt
Organism: Lolium rigidum
Lineage: Eukaryota; Viridiplantae; Streptophyta; Magnoliopsida; Poales; Poaceae
Exons: 3
Source: RefSeq, a predicted model, not a curated record
CAGUUUUAUGAUAUAGCUCCUGGUGGAUGGCCUUCUCAGUCCACCGGUUGCGACAUCUUCAGCAUCAGAUACCAUGUCGUUGGCUGUUGUGCUCAACACCCACAUGUUGGCCCUUCGCUCAGAUCUGAAGUGAUGAAAGCUUUGAAUUUUUCAAGAGGUGAGAUGACACAGCAGGAGAUUAAAGAUCCCAAGUCUUCACUUAACAGCAGGGUAGCGUCGCGGAUCUGGUUGAGGGCAGCUGCUGCAUGCCGGCCACCAGGAAGUGCCGCCAAGUUCCUUGCGCCGGUGGCUGUGAGAUGCAACAGCUCCCUCCUUCCCAUCAUCCUUCUCCGCCGCAGCAG